RNAcentral lists this unclassified non-coding RNA (376 nucleotides) under uncultured Actinomycetes bacterium. RNAcentral's name for it is "uncultured actinobacterium contains 16S-23S intergenic spacer region". Lineage: Bacteria; Bacillati; Actinomycetota; Actinomycetes. The record is from RNAcentral.
UCCGGUUUGUCACCGGCAGUCCCAUUAGAGUGCUCAACUGAAUGUAGCAACUAAUGGCAAGGGUUGCGCUCGUUGCGGGACUUAACCCAACAUCUCACGACACGAGCUGACGACAGCCAUGCACCACCUGUGAAGGUCCGGCCGAACCGACCCCGUGUUUCCACGGGUGCGACCUACAUGUCAAGCCCAGGUAAGGUUCUUCGCGUUGCGUCGAAUUAAACCACAUGCUCCGCUGCUUGUGCGGGCCCCCGUCAAUUCUUUUGAGUUUUAGCCUUGCGGCCGUACUCCCCAGACGGAACACUUAACGCGUUGGCUGCGGCACAGGAGGAUUCGACUCCCCCCACACCUAGUGUUCAUCGUUUACGGCGUGGACUAC